This 2902-nucleotide ribosomal RNA is filed under the name Escherichia coli. RNAcentral describes it as "bacterial LSU rRNA". It matches the Rfam family "Bacterial large subunit ribosomal RNA". Lineage: Bacteria; Pseudomonadati; Pseudomonadota; Gammaproteobacteria; Enterobacterales; Enterobacteriaceae. The record is from RNAcentral.
UUAAGCGACUAAGCGUACACGGUGGAUGCCCUGGCAGUCAGAGGCGAUGAAGGACGUGCUAAUCUGCGAUAAGCGUCGGUAAGGUGAUAUGAACCGUUAUAACCGGCGAUUUCCGAAUGGGGAAACCCAGUGUGUUUCGACACACUAUCAUUAACUGAAUCCAUAGGUUAAUGAGGCGAACCGGGGGAACUGAAACAUCUAAGUACCCCGAGGAAAAGAAAUCAACCGAGAUUCCCCCAGUAGCGGCGAGCGAACGGGGAGCAGCCCAGAGCCUGAAUCAGUGUGUGUGUUAGUGGAAGCGUCUGGAAAGGCGCGCGAUACAGGGUGACAGCCCCGUACACAAAAAUGCACAUGCUGUGAGCUCGAUGAGUAGGGCGGGACACGUGGUAUCCUGUCUGAAUAUGGGGGGACCAUCCUCCAAGGCUAAAUACUCCUGACUGACCGAUAGUGAACCAGUACCGUGAGGGAAAGGCGAAAAGAACCCCGGCGAGGGGAGUGAAAAAGAACCUGAAACCGUGUACGUACAAGCAGUGGGAGCACGCUUAGGCGUGUGACUGCGUACCUUUUGUAUAAUGGGUCAGCGACUUAUAUUCUGUAGCAAGGUUAACCGAAUAGGGGAGCCGAAGGGAAACCGAGUCUUAACUGGGCGUUAAGUUGCAGGGUAUAGACCCGAAACCCGGUGAUCUAGCCAUGGGCAGGUUGAAGGUUGGGUAACACUAACUGGAGGACCGAACCGACUAAUGUUGAAAAAUUAGCGGAUGACUUGUGGCUGGGGGUGAAAGGCCAAUCAAACCGGGAGAUAGCUGGUUCUCCCCGAAAGCUAUUUAGGUAGCGCCUCGUGAAUUCAUCUCCGGGGGUAGAGCACUGUUUCGGCAAGGGGGUCAUCCCGACUUACCAACCCGAUGCAAACUGCGAAUACCGGAGAAUGUUAUCACGGGAGACACACGGCGGGUGCUAACGUCCGUCGUGAAGAGGGAAACAACCCAGACCGCCAGCUAAGGUCCCAAAGUCAUGGUUAAGUGGGAAACGAUGUGGGAAGGCCCAGACAGCCAGGAUGUUGGCUUAGAAGCAGCCAUCAUUUAAAGAAAGCGUAAUAGCUCACUGGUCGAGUCGGCCUGCGCGGAAGAUGUAACGGGGCUAAACCAUGCACCGAAGCUGCGGCAGCGACGCUGAUGCGUUGUUGGGUAGGGGAGCGUUCUGUAAGCCUGUGAAGGUGUGCUGUGAGGCAUGCUGGAGGUAUCAGAAGUGCGAAUGCUGACAUAAGUAACGAUAAAGCGGGUGAAAAGCCCGCUCGCCGGAAGACCAAGGGUUCCUGUCCAACGUUAAUCGGGGCAGGGUGAGUCGACCCCUAAGGCGAGGCCGAAAGGCGUAGUCGAUGGGAAACAGGUUAAUAUUCCUGUACUUGGUGUUACUGCGAAGGGGGGACGGAGAAGGCUAUGUUGGCCGGGCGACGGUUGUCCCGGUUUAAGCGUGUAGGCUGGUUUUCCAGGCAAAUCCGGAAAAUCAAGGCUGAGGCGUGAUGACGAGGCACUACGGUGCUGAAGCAACAAAUGCCCUGCUUCCAGGAAAAGCCUCUAAGCAUCAGGUAACAUCAAAUCGUACCCCAAACCGACACAGGUGGUCAGGUAGAGAAUACCAAGGCGCUUGAGAGAACUCGGGUGAAGGAACUAGGCAAAAUGGUGCCGUAACUUCGGGAGAAGGCACGCUGAUAUGUAGGUGAGGUCCCUCGCGGAUGGAGCUGAAAUCAGUCGAAGAUACCAGCUGGCUGCAACUGUUUAUUAAAAACACAGCACUGUGCAAACACGAAAGUGGACGUAUACGGUGUGACGCCUGCCCGGUGCCGGAAGGUUAAUUGAUGGGGUUAGCGCAAGCGAAGCUCUUGAUCGAAGCCCCGGUAAACGGCGGCCGUAACUAUAACGGUCCUAAGGUAGCGAAAUUCCUUGUCGGGUAAGUUCCGACCUGCACGAAUGGCGUAAUGAUGGCCAGGCUGUCUCCACCCGAGACUCAGUGAAAUUGAACUCGCUGUGAAGAUGCAGUGUACCCGCGGCAAGACGGAAAGACCCCGUGAACCUUUACUAUAGCUUGACACUGAACAUUGAGCCUUGAUGUGUAGGAUAGGUGGGAGGCUUAGAAGUGUGGACGCCAGUCUGCAUGGAGCCGACCUUGAAAUACCACCCUUUAAUGUUUGAUGUUCUAACGUUGACCCGUAAUCCGGGUUGCGGACAGUGUCUGGUGGGUAGUUUGACUGGGGCGGUCUCCUCCUAAAGAGUAACGGAGGAGCACGAAGGUUGGCUAAUCCUGGUCGGACAUCAGGAGGUUAGUGCAAUGGCAUAAGCCAGCUUGACUGCGAGCGUGACGGCGCGAGCAGGUGCGAAAGCAGGUCAUAGUGAUCCGGUGGUUCUGAAUGGAAGGGCCAUCGCUCAACGGAUAAAAGGUACUCCGGGGAUAACAGGCUGAUACCGCCCAAGAGUUCAUAUCGACGGCGGUGUUUGGCACCUCGAUGUCGGCUCAUCACAUCCUGGGGCUGAAGUAGGUCCCAAGGGUAUGGCUGUUCGCCAUUUAAAGUGGUACGCGAGCUGGGUUUAGAACGUCGUGAGACAGUUCGGUCCCUAUCUGCCGUGGGCGCUGGAGAACUGAGGGGGGCUGCUCCUAGUACGAGAGGACCGGAGUGGACGCAUCACUGGUGUUCGGGUUGUCAUGCCAAUGGCACUGCCCGGUAGCUAAAUGCGGAAGAGAUAAGUGCUGAAAGCAUCUAAGCACGAAACUUGCCCCGAGAUGAGUUCUCCCUGACUCCUUGAGAGUCCUGAAGGAACGUUGAAGACGACGACGUUGAUAGGCCGGGUGUGUAAGCGCAGCGAUGCGUUGAGCUAACCGGUACUAAUGAACCGUGAGGCUUAACCUU